RNA transcript from Monomorium pharaonis (pharaoh ant), 4053 nucleotides. RefSeq lists it as uncharacterized. NCBI's taxonomy places the organism in Eukaryota, Metazoa, Arthropoda, Insecta, Hymenoptera, Formicidae. The transcript is spliced from 3 exons. The record is from RefSeq and is a predicted model, not a curated record.
GUUUAUAUGUAAAAUACGUUUGAACGAUUAAUUGUAUUCAAUAUAUUUUUUAUUAUCAUUCAACUCUAGAUUGUCUAAUUGAGACAAAAGCAAGAAUUAUGUAUGUGCGCGCUAUAAAAAAAUGAUAAAAAGAUUCAAUUAUUUUAUACAACAUGUUUCUAUAUAAAAUGCGUUUAAUUAAUUUUAUUUAGUAUAUUUUUUAUGAUUCUACAACUGGAUUGUCAAAAAGAUUGCGAUUAUGUAUGUACACGCUAACGCUGCACCAAGCUGGUUAUUCAUCUUGGCGAUGCAUCCUGGCGAAAUGCAACAAUGACACGUGAUUCGCGUGACCAUCAGUAGUCGCCAUCAGGGCAACGACGACGAUGGCAAUCGCUAUUUCGAUUUCUCACUGUUUAACGUCGCGCGACCAAAUCGCGCACGUGCGAGCACAGAACGCGUUCGCAUAUUGAUACCGAGACUAGAUAUGGUAAUUAGAUUCUUGUGCGAGACCGUCAUCGCUUCAACUCAUUCGCUUUCUCUCUCUCUCUCUCUUUCUCUCUCUCUCUCCUCGCUGCUGCGGGAGCAAAUUUAUAGUUAAUUGCGACUGUUAACUUAUUUUAUAAGCUACAUACUAUGAUUUAACUGUGGAAUUCAGAGGUAGGACAGCGCGACAGUGCGGUGGUAGCGAGUACGAGAAAUAUAAGGACGCGAUCCCCGCAUACUCGACAGGUUUACAACAUUCGAAAAAUUAUGUUCUAUAAUUCUAUAUCAACGGAAAUGUAGGUAUAUCUACGGCAGCUGUCAACUAUAGUGUUUUCUCAGAUCAAGCUCAAUCUACACUUUCCAAGAACCAACUUUCUCGUAGUAUGGUCCGAAGGCGAUUCUUGGAGCGAGAGUAGCCCGGUCAAGCCGGUUCGCCAAUUUUGGAUCAAAAGACUCUAUCCUGCGUGAAGUGUCGCCUUAACGGUAGACCGUAAAAUUAAGGUCAAUCCCAGGAAAUUACCCGGAAACAUGGAAGAUUCAUUACAUUUCCGCCUCGCUUCGUGUGUCACCCGAUCAAAGGAGUUCAACAACUUUUUCACUUUGGUUCACAUUACUCAACGGGUCGUUAAAGCAGACCGUCCGCGCGAGCACGAUGCCAUAGGAAACUUAUGUUCUGUCGCGUGGGUGCAACGUGUGGGCAUCGCGACAGUUCCGUCAGGCACCUUGUCUCGAUCAAAGUUCGUUACACUCGUCAAUUCGCCGACAGAAAGAGACUCUCUUCGUGCAGGUAGAUGUUGUUUUGUAACGUGGAAAUAUAUCGUCCGUUAACUCUUUCCUUUCACCCGGCAGCAAGGAAAAUCGCAAAUCGAAGGACUCGCAUUAAAUCAUUAGACAAAGUAGCGGCGCAAAUCGAAGACUCGAACGCCAAUUGAUGCGGGCGCGCCCGCCGGCGACAAAUCGUUUCGAUACUUGACGGCACGAGUGGGACUGGAACGAUUUAAGUGUGAUUUAGAACGUCUGAACUCAAUACGGGGGACAAUUAAGGGGGACGGCUUGGGAAAUCUCGUGUUGCCUGUCAAGGUGGUUUAAAAGUCGCUAGUGCAAUCAAGCUCUCUUUAUAGUCUGCGUGAUUGUUCAUCGACGCUGAAAUAAAAUCUUCAUUUUAGAAGCUUCAUAGCACAGCCAGUAUGCACGUUCUAUUUGUACAUUUAAUAGGAGUCUUGCACGAUUAAUGAUACUGUCAGUACCAACGAAUACUGACUGAUUAUUGAUCGUGUAUGAUUAAUAUUGAUGGAUUAAUGCAGAAUAGUGGUCCGGAUUUCUUGAUUCUCGAGCAUCAGUAUCCCUAUUAAACAGCGACUGUCAAUAUUCUACAUCCAUCCCCAUCAAUGUUACAAUCGCACAUAAUCAAUAAUACAUUUGUUAGCAUUAGACCGUGUAAAGUUUCUAUAAAAUACAUAACUUAUAAAAUACACAUAUCAAACUAAAUUGAAAUAUUGUCAAUAAUAUUAAUCAUGUAAGGGCGUUAAAAAUAUUGGUGCAUACUGUCAAUGUAUACUAAUGAUUCUAUAUUAUUCAAUAUUAUAUGUAAUAUGUAUUGAUCGUGUAAAGUCCGUACAAGAUACCGGUUUUAAUUUUUAAUAAACACUCAAAUAUAUACAUCAAUAUCCGAACAAUUCGAUGGGGGAGAAAUUGUAAUGGCGCCGAGUUAUGCGGAAGGAUCUCGAUCGCGUUUCUGACAACGACAGAAUACACGAUCUCUUUCGCUCACGGGGGAUACCUGGUCACCGAGAGGAAUUGAUUUCAGUUUUGGUCACCCUUCAGUCGGCAAACUGGGGGAGGAUCCGGCAGAUGAGUCGCCGACGGUAUUGCGGUUAAACUACCGGCAUUCAAUCGACGCAACCUAUUCAUUGAUCUAUUCGUCUCCCUUCGGCCGCAGAAUCACACCGCUCACGGGCACCCUCCAUUUUUCUUUCCGGUCUCGUCCGCCGUCACUCUUCGUCCCGUAACAAACGGGCGUCGAUUUAGCAUUGCGCGCAAUUUGGGUCACAGCUUUAUUGGAACCCACCGGCCGAUCGCUAACGAAACGAAUUGACUCUGAGAGCAUUGGCCGUUUCGAGUUGCCGGCGCGUGCUUUUGGAGGAAUCAUGGUGAUGACGCAACCGUCUCGAUUAAAGCAGUAUACCGGGCAGAACAAAUCGCUACAUUGGUUUCUACUAUACUUCGCUAAGCGUAGAUAAUGUCGCGUAACGAAAGUCUUUUAUUUGAUAAUGAGUUUUAAUUAAUUGAAACAGUGCAUUUGAUGGCAUUAAUCUAAUCUUUGGAGGAAUUCAAAGUGAAAUGAAUAUGUUUACGAUUCGUAAUUUUGUCUUGAAUUAAAUUUAAUGACAUAAUUAAAUAAAUAUAUAACGUUAUUAAAACGAGAAAACUAAUUUAAAAGGCUUUUAGAUUUUAAUAGAUAUUUUCAUAUAAUUUUAAUCGUUCCUUAUGAUUUCCGUAAUUGCUAUAAUUCCAUUUUCGAUGAAUUUGGAACAUACAUUUUAUAACAUGGAUAUUCAUCAUGACAACCACUUUACUAAUCUCAUCAAAAAGUCAGGCUAGGGCAUCGUGAAGAAAAGUGAAGAUCUAAAUAGGCAGCGACGGGGUAGAAACGCUAUACUCGGAAGCGGUUAACGCGAUGGACCUUGCCCAUCCAUCGGGCCGACCUUUGAUCUAUUUCCAGCCGUGGAAAUCGCCCCCGUCGCGAUAAACCGCCAUUUUCCCUCCACUUGGCAGAACAUAUUUCCGGCGGCGUUAGUCAGCCGUUCUAAAUGCACUAUACUGACUGCUGCUCUUUCGUCUAGCUCGCUUCCUCCCUCCCUCCCUCUCACGCUGUGAACACUAGCCAAGUUGUAUUUCUGACUAGCUCUCGCUGUCAGAUCGAGGUUAAUUGGGUGCCAUUAUGACGAAAAUUAGUGCGUAUCAGUCGGCGAGGAUAAGCUCUCUCCUGAUGUUCACGGGUCGCGGCUUUCACGGUAUCGAUAAAUUAAUCAACAAUCUCGUAUCGUCAAAUUUAUGGGACACAGACUAGUGCUUCUAGAAUCAUGUUGAAGUGUGUUGAACAAGAAAUAUUUUAAUAAGAAUUUGUGUCCUUGUCCAACAUUACGCCAUAUACUUAAAUAUCCGUGUCGUAUUUUAUAUAAACGAUUUAGAAGCAAAAUAAAAUAAUUGAUGUUAACGUCAGCAAUGUUAUUUUAUAUUGCUAAGUUUAGUUUAUCAUAUUAUAUCGCCCAUUGCCAAAUUUUAUUGGCACAAUAAUAAGAUUUAGAAAACAGAUUUUCUUUCAUGAAAUUUAUAUCUCUUAAAUGUCAAUUCAUGUAGAAUUUUUACAUAAAAAUCAAUAAAUUCAUUGCAAGCUAAUUCACUUUAACUUGUUUAGAUAAUCACUUUAAAUUUUUGUUCAAAUAAUCAGAAUAAACACAAUUUAAUAUUUCACUAUAAUAAAUCUUUAAAAAGAAUUGAAAAAUUAUAUCGUAUGUGUAUUAAAAGAGUAAAUUACAAUUUUCUCUUGUCUCUGUCAAGUUCGGAAAAUUACACCAAGAAGAAAUUUUC